CGCGGCCUAUCAGCUUGUUGGUGGGGUAACGGCCUACCAAGGCAACGACGGGUAGCUGGUCUGAGAGGAUGUCCAGCCACACUGGGACUGAGACACGGCCCAGACUCCUACGGGAGGCAGCAGCUAGGAAUCUUGCGCAAUGGGGGAAACCCUGACGCAGCGACGCCGCGUGCGGGAUGAAGGCCUUCUUGGUUGUAAACCGCUUUCAGCAGGGACGAUUGUGACGGUACCUGCAGAAGAAGCCCCGGUCAACUACGUGCCAGCAGCCGCGGUAAUACGUAGGGGGCGAGCGUUGUCCGGAUUUACUGGGCGUAAAGAGCUCGUAGGCGGUUCGGUAAGUCGGAAGUGAAAACUCCAGGCUCAACCUGGAGAGGCCUUUCGAUACUGCCGUGACUUGAGUUCGGUAGAGGAGUGUGGGACUCCCGGUGUAGCGGUGAAAUGCGCAGAGAUCGGGAAGAACACCAGUGGCGAAGGCGGCACUCUGGGCCGAUACUGACGCUGAGGAGCGAAAGCGUGGGGAGCGAACAGGAUUAGAUACCCUGGUAGUCCACGCCGUAAACGUUGGGUACUAGGUGUGGGGCUCUAUCGACGGGCUCCGUGCCGUAGCGAACGCAUUAAGUACCCCGCCUGGGGAGUACGG
RNAcentral lists this ribosomal RNA (640 nucleotides) under uncultured Actinomycetes bacterium. RNAcentral describes it as "bacterial SSU rRNA". It matches the Rfam family "Bacterial small subunit ribosomal RNA", at positions 232 to 885 of the family's 1533-position model. Lineage: Bacteria; Bacillati; Actinomycetota; Actinomycetes. The record is from RNAcentral.